This 583-nucleotide ribosomal RNA is filed under the name Candida tropicalis. RNAcentral describes it as "eukaryotic LSU rRNA". It matches the Rfam family "Eukaryotic large subunit ribosomal RNA", at positions 45 to 640 of the family's 3401-position model. Lineage: Eukaryota; Fungi; Ascomycota; Pichiomycetes; Serinales; Debaryomycetaceae. The record is from RNAcentral.
CAUAAGCGGAGGAAAAGAAACCAACAGGGAUUGCCUUAGUAGCGGCGAGUGAAGCGGCAAAAGCUCAAAUUUGAAAUCUGGCUCUUUCAGAGUCCGAGUUGUAAUUUGAAGAAGGUAUCUUUGGGUCUGGCUCUUGUCUAUGUUUCUUGGAACAGAACGUCACAGAGGGUGAGAAUCCCGUGCGAUGAGAUGAUCCAGGCCUAUGUAAAGUUCCUUCGAAGAGUCGAGUUGUUUGGGAAUGCAGCUCUAAGUGGGUGGUAAAUUCCAUCUAAAGCUAAAUAUUGGCGAGAGACCGAUAGCGAACAAGUACAGUGAUGGAAAGAUGAAAAGAACUUUGAAAAGAGAGUGAAAAAGUACGUGAAAUUGUUGAAAGGGAAGGGCUUGAGAUCAGACUUGGUAUUUUGUAUGUUACUUCUUCGGGGGUGGCCUCUACAGUUUAUCGGGCCAGCAUCAGUUUGGGCGGUAGGAGAAUUGCGUUGGAAUGUGGCACGGCUUCGGUUGUGUGUUAUAGCCUUCGUCGAUACUGCCAGCCUAGACUGAGGACUGCGGUUUAUACCUAGGAUGUUGGCAUAAUGAUAUAACU